This 329-nucleotide unclassified non-coding RNA is filed under the name soil metagenome. RNAcentral's name for it is "partial contains 5.8S ribosomal RNA, internal transcribed spacer 2, and large subunit ribosomal RNA". The stretch from base 1 to 120 matches the Rfam family "5.8S ribosomal RNA", at positions 35 to 154 of the family's 154-position model. The record is from RNAcentral.
GAUGAAGAACGCAGCGAAAUGCGAUAAGUAGUGUGAAUUGCAGAAUUCAGUGAAUCAUCGAAUCUUUGAACGCACAUUGCGCCCCUUGGUAUCCCGAGGGGCAUGCCUGUUCGAGCGUCAUUUCACCACUCAAGCCUGGCUUGGUGUUGGGCGACGUCCUCUUUGGGGACGCGCCUCGAAACGCUCGGCGGCGUGGCACCGGCUUUAAGCGUAGCAGAAUCUUUCGCUUUGGAAGUCGGGGCCCCGUCUGCCGGAGGACCUGCUCGCAAGGUUGACCUCGGAUCAGGCAGGGAUACCCGCUGAACUUAAGCAUAUCAAUAAGCGGAGGA